GAUUCGGGAAAUGAAAUUUAUAUCCAAAUAGAUUCUUCAAACCAUUAUGAUGAAACAGGUUCCCCGGGUGUUUUAACGCAGUUGUUGGACGGUUCAGAAAAUCUAGUCCUCUAUCGUAACUGGCAGACUCCACAAACACCACCCCCCUCUGACAGCCGCGGACAGCAUUUUCCCGUCCCCUCUGAAAGCAGCGGACGGCGUUCAGUCCGCUGGGUGUCCCCUUCGCCGACAACGAUUCACUCUGACCAAGGAUCUCGGCGUCAAAAUCGUUAUUCAUCAUGAUAUUCCCUCCGGCCUGAACACGAACAGAGACAUCGAGAAAGACUGCAAGAGCUGACUGAAAACCUUGGCCUGUUACUGGAGCAAUUUGUAGAAUUA
Long non-coding RNA from Polypterus senegalus (gray bichir), 378 nucleotides. RefSeq lists it as uncharacterized. The transcript has 3 exons. Lineage: Eukaryota; Metazoa; Chordata; Cladistia; Polypteriformes; Polypteridae. The record is from RefSeq and is a predicted model, not a curated record.